This is a long non-coding RNA of Cyprinodon tularosa, 384 nucleotides long. RefSeq lists it as uncharacterized. NCBI's taxonomy places the organism in Eukaryota, Metazoa, Chordata, Actinopteri, Cyprinodontiformes, Cyprinodontidae. The record is from RefSeq and is a predicted model, not a curated record. The transcript is spliced from 3 exons.
CAUUACUGGAGGAGUAUUUGAGCAGUGGGCUGUCACUACCUCGAGGCCAGUGUGUUUUGGGAAGCUUUCCUGUGAAAACUGAAUGCCUGGACCAUCUCCCUAUGGAAGGAAUUACUGAUAAUGCACUGAGCAGGGGAAAACCUCCACAUGAUCCGUUCAAGUUCCCAUCGGAAAUCCAAGUGACAGUCCGCUCCAUUACUCCUCUGGGUCCAACAAAUGUCUACCUGGCCGCUCUCCAAUGAGUUCCCCCCUUCUCUGGAUUACCCCCACAUUGACUGGAUUCAAGGAUUGACAAGAGCCCCCUCAAACUUCCGGUUCACCAGUCCACUGAGUUCCAGAUCCUACUUCUGUUUACAUUACAUCAAAUAAACCUGUUAAACUUUU